CCUACGGGAGGCAGCAGUGGGGAAUAUUGGACAAUGGGGGAAACCCUGAUGCAGCGACGCCGCGUGAGUGAAGAAGUAUUUCGGUAUGUAAAGCUCUAUCAGCAGGGAAGAAAAUGACGGUACCUGAGUAAGAAGCUCCGGCUAAAUACGUGCCAGCAGCCGCGGUAAUACGUAGGGAGCAAGCGUUAUCCGGAUUUACUGGGCGUAAAGGGAGCGUAGACGGUGUGGCAAGUCUGAUGUGAAAGUCCGGGGCUCAACCCCGGGACUGCAUUGGAAACUGUAAGACUGGAGUACAGGUGAGGUAGGCGGAAUUCGUAGUGUAGCGGUGAAAUGCGUAGAUAUUAGGAGGAACACCAGUGGCGAAGGCGGCCUACUGGACUGUGACUGACGCUGAGGCUCGAAAGCGUGGGGAGCAAACAGGAUUAGAUACCCCAGUAGUC
RNAcentral lists this ribosomal RNA (440 nucleotides) under uncultured bacterium. Its description in RNAcentral is "partial 16S ribosomal RNA". It matches the Rfam family "Bacterial small subunit ribosomal RNA", at positions 338 to 795 of the family's 1533-position model. The record is from RNAcentral.